UCCAAGGGCCACAUAACGAGGUCAUAGAGAGAGAGGGAGGGACCGUGGAUCUGGGGCUUUGACAUUACUGGGUCCAAGUGUGGGUUUUCUUGGGUUCACUCUUUCUUGGUGAAUUUAGAACAUAAGAAGGCAGGAAUUGGGGUCCAGGGAGGAAAAAGCAGGACCACUCAAGCAGUCACUUAUCUAGGUUACACAGGGCUUUCUGGAAAGGGGACUUCCCAAGUGGGGGCACCCUAACUCCUCAUCUGGUUGUUCAGCUAGUGGCCGUGUCACACCGCCGGCUGUGUGUUUAUUUGAGAUGGUUAUAUUUGAAAUGGAUGGCUCAGCAACCAAAAGCUUAAUGUCAGCCACUUACAUGACAAUCAAAAAAGCUUAUCAUAAGGCACUCACACUGUAUCGUGUUAAGCAUUUUCAUGUUAUUUUUGGGAUGAAAACACAAGCACUUUAAAAUCUCACCACUCGUGUUCUACUGAGAAUAGUAUAUCCCCAAGCCGAGAACACUGAUCUGAAGGGUUAUGGGGGGUUUUAAAUGACAUGACAUUGUUUAAAGAGCUUAACACAAUACUUGAGUAAGUGCUCAGUAAUUUUCAGUUUCCUUCCCUUCCCUUUUCACUUUAUAGAUUAGACUUUCAUAGUCCACUGUGAGCAUUAAUUUGUUCAGCUCUGCCUUCAGGUGGAACAUCUGUAUAAAUCCAGCUUUGUGAAUAUUUUUAAACUGAGAGAUUUUCCAUCUGUUUUGGAGUUACAGCGGCGCACAUUAUCCUCACUUGAGCUCUUAAUGAUAUAUGUGUGAUGGAAACAAGACGUUUUAACGCACAUGCAUCGACACCAUGGAACACAAGAGAGAAGUCCGACGUCCAAUGUAUCAGUAAGGUCAACUGCUUGACCUCUGAUGCCUAAGGUUAUUACAAGGAAAUGUUUGAUGAGGAAAAGAAAGUCUUCAAAUUCCUGGACGAGUCAUGCAAUAGGUCUGUUCCCCCCAGCCCCCAAAUCUGCCACUCUUUCUUAGAAGUCCUUCUGGAUUUUGUGUACUCUGUUGAGAUUGCUGAUUAGUUACAGUGUGCUAUGACAAUGUUCUUUAUUAAAUAAAAUGUUCUGUGA
Molecule: long non-coding RNA, 1101 nt
Organism: Neofelis nebulosa (Clouded leopard)
Lineage: Eukaryota; Metazoa; Chordata; Mammalia; Carnivora; Felidae
Exons: 2
Source: RefSeq, a predicted model, not a curated record